Molecule: ribosomal RNA, 495 nt
Filed under: uncultured bacterium
Lineage: Bacteria
Description: partial 16S ribosomal RNA
Rfam family: Bacterial small subunit ribosomal RNA
Source: RNAcentral
GACGAACGCUGGCGGCGUGCCUAAUACAUGCAAGUAGAACGCUGAAGGAGGAGCUUGCUCUUCUGGAUGAGUUGCGAACGGGUGAGUAACGCGUAGGUAACCUGCCUGGUAGCGGGGGAUAACUAUUGGAAACGAUAGCUAAUACCGCAUAAUAGUAGAUGUUGCAUGAUAUUUACUUAAAAGGUGCAAUUGCACCACUACCAGAUGGACCUGCGUUGUAUUAGCUAGUUGGUGGGGUAACGGCUCACCAAGGCGACGAUACAUAGCCGACCUGAGAGGGUGAUCGGCCACACUGGGACUGAGACACGGCCCAGACUCCUACGGGAGGCAGCAGUAGGGAAUCUUCGGCAAUGGACGAAAGUCUGACCGAGCAACGCCGCGUGAGUGAAGAAGGUUGUCGGAUCGUAAAGCUCUGUUGUAAGAGAAGAACGAGUGUGAGAGUGGAAAGUUCACACUGUGACGGUAUCUUACCAGAAAGAGACGGCUAACUACGUG